This 65-nucleotide transfer RNA is filed under the name Kaylathalia klovstadi. Its description in RNAcentral is "tRNA-Leu". Lineage: Eukaryota; Metazoa; Arthropoda; Collembola; Entomobryomorpha; Isotomidae. The record is from RNAcentral.
UUUAAAGUGGCAGACUAGUGCAAUGAAUUUAAGAUUCAGUAAUGAGUUAAUUAACUCCUUUAGAA